Molecule: ribosomal RNA, 406 nt
Filed under: uncultured bacterium
Lineage: Bacteria
Description: partial 16S ribosomal RNA
Rfam family: Bacterial small subunit ribosomal RNA
Source: RNAcentral
AUUGAACGCUGGCGGCAGGCCUAACACAUGCAAGUCGAACGAGUGGCGGACGUGUGAGUAAUGUCUGGGAAACUGCCUGAUUGAGGGGGAUAACUACUGGAAACGGUCGCUAAUACCGCAUACCAUCUGAUGUGCCCAGAUGGGUUUAGCUAGUAGGUGGGGUAAAGGUUCACCUAGGCGACGAUCCCUAGCUGGUCUGAGAGGAUGACCAGCGACACUGGAACUGAGACACAGUCCCGAGUCGUACGGGAUGGAGCAGUGGGGAAUAUUGCAUAAUGGGCGCAAGCCUGAUGCAGCCAUGCCGCGUGUAUGAAGAAGGCCUUAGGGUUGUAAAGUACUUUCAGCGGGGAGGCGUUACCCGCAGAAGAAGCACCGGCUAACUCCGUGCCAGCCGCCGCGGUAAUUG